GAUGAACGCUAGCGGCAGGCCUAACACAUGCAAGUCGAGGGGUAGAAGGAGCUUGCUCCUUUGAGACCGGCGCACGGGUGCGUAACGCGUAUGCAAUCUACCUUGUACAGAGGAAUAGCCCAGAGAAAUUUGGAUUAAUGCCCCAUAGUAUAUAACCUUCGCAUGUUGGUUAUAUUAAAGUUCCAACGGUACAAGAUGAGCAUGCGUCCCAUUAGUUAGUUGGUAAGGUAACGGCUUACCAAGACGAUGAUGGGUAGGGGUCCUGAGAGGGAGAUCCCCCACACUGGUACUGAGACACGGACCAGACUCCUACGGGAGGCAGCAGUGAGGAAUAUUGGUCAAUGGUCGCAAGACUGAACCAGCCAUGCCGCGUGCAGGAAGACGGUCCUAUGGAUUGUAAACUGCUUUUAGACAGGAAGAAACCCUCCCACGUGUGGGAGCUUGACGGUACUGUAGGAAUAAGGAUCGGCUAACUCCGUG
RNAcentral lists this ribosomal RNA (480 nucleotides) under uncultured bacterium. RNAcentral's name for it is "partial 16S ribosomal RNA". It matches the Rfam family "Bacterial small subunit ribosomal RNA", at positions 28 to 507 of the family's 1533-position model. The record is from RNAcentral.